UCAACACAAAAAUUUAGAGAGAAUGCAUAUUGAAGAAGAAGAUCCAAAAAUCCACAAUCAAUAACAUAAAAUCUACAAUCAAGAAUCAAGUUGAAGGAAUUCAAGAAUCAAAAUUAUGGAUCCAGAAGGAAAACCAAGAACAAAAAUCAAAGAAUUCAAGGAGGCAAAAAUUCAAGAUUGAAAGCAAGAAACCAAUCAAGAAGGGAUUCCAGGUUGAUUUUGAAGAUUCAAGAUAUGAAAUUAAGAUCUAGUAAUAAAAAAUCGUUCCCAAAGAAUUAAGGUAUGUUUUGCAUUAUUAAUUUUCUUUGUGAUUUGACAUGAAAGAUCUUAACAAUAAAGUAAUUAAGUUUUUAUGUUAUUAAGAUUUGAAGUUCCAAAAAAUAUCAACAAUGUAAUCCUAAUGGAAAAAAGUCUCACCUUAAUUACAGAUUCUAAUUCAGAAAGUGGGGUAAGAUAAUCCUACAGAGGUAGUGUGAAUCAUUAUAAGAGAAAGAUUUGAUUUUAUUUGUUAAUAUAAAGCACCAAAGGUAGAUUUGCUAUCUUUUCACCGAAAGCACAAGUGUAUGGUAUAUUGACAAGUAAUAAUCUUAUUAUCAAUUUCUAUUCUAAUGACUAAACCUAGCUUCAAAUAAAACUAAUAUUGUUACCAAGUAAUGACUUAAGGAUUGAAUUUAAACUAAGAUUGUACUGAAAUAUAUCUAACACAAUUAACACAAGGAGACUUUUUGGAAAACUUAGGGGAUUUGGUAGUUAGGACCUUUGAUUUCACUUAACGUCAGUUAAUUUUCAUUAGUUUCAAUAUCCUAUGGCCUUUUUCUAUAUGUGUUAACAAUCAAAAUAACAAAUUAUAACUAAUGAUCUCUCUCGAGUAAAAUUAUGUAUUAUAUCUUAUUAUAUUGAUGGAAAGAGGUAAAAUGAAAAGUUAUAACGAAGCAAUAAAGUUUGAUGAAUCAAUCAAGUGAAAGUCAGCCAUGAGGGAUUAUAUGAACUCAUUAUUGUCUAAUUAGACAUGAUAGUUGACAAAGUUACCACGAGGAAAGUUGACUAUGUAAAAUAAAUGGGUAUAUUGAUUAAAAGAAGAACAUUAUGACAGUAAAUGAUAUAAAGCCAAACUGGUUUUGAAGGAAUAUCAAAAUAAAGUUAUGCUAAGAAUUUCUCUCUUGUAAUGAAACUAACAACAUCUACAGGUAAUUGGACAGAUGGUAUAGAAAGAAUUGCACCUAGGGCAAUUGGAUGUAAGGACGGUCCUUUUUUCAUGGUGAUUUGGACGAAAAAAUUACAAGAUGCAAAUAUAAGUUUUCGAGGUACAAAAACAGGGGAAAAUGGUAUGUGGACUUUAAAAUAGUUUGCAUAGUCUUAAAUUAGUUUGGAGAGAGUGUUAUUAGUGGUUUGAUAGUUUUAUUAGGAGUAAUGGCUUCAUAAGGUGCCACAUGGAUCAUUGUUGUUAUGUAAGGAAUCUUGGUAUCUCCUAUAUUAUCUAAUGGGUAUAUGUGAUUGUAGGUGCUUGCAAAAAUGAAGUGACAAGUUCAAAAAUGAGUUAUCCAAUGAACUUACAAAGAAGAAUUUGGGUGUUAUAAAAUAAAUUCUCGAGAUGAGAAUUACAAAGGACAGUGUCAUCUUGAAACUUUCACAAGAAUAGUAUGUGAAGAAGGUGUUGAGCAGGUUCAUGAUAAUGUAAAAUGAAUAAGCACUCCUUUGACUAGUGACUUCAAGCUAUCCAAUGAGCAGCCACCCUCUACGAAACAAGAGUGGAACUACAUAGUUAAGAUGCCUUAUGCCUAUUUUAUUGAAUCUUAUGUAUACCAUAGUGUGAUCGAAGCUAGCAAAGAAAUAAUAUGGUUGUAGUCUUUCUUGGAAGAAUUGUGUCACGUUGUAUUGUA
Molecule: long non-coding RNA, 1880 nt
Filed under: Olea europaea subsp. europaea
Lineage: Eukaryota; Viridiplantae; Streptophyta; Magnoliopsida; Lamiales; Oleaceae
Source: RNAcentral